This is a small nucleolar RNA of Rhinopithecus roxellana (golden snub-nosed monkey), 134 nucleotides long. Its record names the gene SNORA70. It matches the Rfam family "Small nucleolar RNA SNORA70". Rfam says of the family: snoRNA U70 seems to be exclusive to mammals and is a member of the H/ACA class of snoRNA which contain H (ANANNA) and ACA box motifs. H/ACA box snoRNAs are involved in the conversion of uridines to pseudouridines (5-ribosyluracil) a constituent of structural RNAs (transfer, ribosomal, small nuclear, and small nucleolar). The record is from Ensembl. NCBI's taxonomy places the organism in Eukaryota, Metazoa, Chordata, Mammalia, Primates, Cercopithecidae.
CUGCAGCCAAUUAAGCCGACUGAGUUCCUUUCCUCAUGGGGGCCCAGUGUGCAAUGGCUGCAAACAGCAGCUUCCCUGGUAGUGAUGCAACCUGUUUGUUGUAUGGGUUGCUCUAAGGGACCUUGGAGACAGUC